Sphaeramia orbicularis (orbiculate cardinalfish) is the source of this 113-nucleotide long non-coding RNA. RefSeq lists it as uncharacterized. The record is from RefSeq and is a predicted model, not a curated record. Lineage: Eukaryota; Metazoa; Chordata; Actinopteri; Kurtiformes; Apogonidae. The transcript has 3 exons.
CAGAUAGUGAUAGAUGUAGUGCAUAAAGAUUGGACUGUGUUUCAAUGGAAAAAGGUUGUGUGGUCUGAGGAGUCCAGAUUGGCCCUGUUCCAGAACGAGAAGAGAGAUGGUAA